Molecule: long non-coding RNA, 16747 nt
Organism: Mustela lutreola (European mink)
Lineage: Eukaryota; Metazoa; Chordata; Mammalia; Carnivora; Mustelidae
Exons: 4
Source: RefSeq, a predicted model, not a curated record
GGUGCGGAGGAGGCUCGGCGGCCGCUGGGCUGGGGCUGGGGCUGGGGCGUUGCAGAGGCCGCGGGAGGGCGGUUUUGGAGAACAGCUCGGUGGCGGAUAGGGAUGUGCUGGGUCCAGGACGGCCGGCUCUGCACUCCCCGUGCCCCUCGCUCGCGGCGAGCCUCAGUUUACCGGCCUGGAGUCGGGGCUCCCGCACGGACCGCACUCACCUCCGCCGUACAUCUGGCACAGUGGUGUCUUCGGAUGAACGGAUGUUCUUGAUUUUAACAAACUCUUAACAAACAACUCUCGAGGGUGAGUUUUCUCUAGAGGACGGCCGGCCCCACGGUGGCAUUCAGGAGCUGGGCACUCUGGACAGAUGUCCUGCACGGUUGCUGGCCACCUGUUUGCAGGGGGUUGGUGUGACAAAGGCAAGGCCCCUCCUUCCAUUCCCCAGCCCCAGGGGUCAGGCCUGUGGGUCCCAAGGGUCACACUGCCAGACCCCGCAGGAGCCUGAUCAGGGUGGGAGGGGGUUCUGGGCGGAGCGCACAGAGACACCCCAUAGUAGGACAAAGUAAAUCCUCAGGGGCAGAUGGCUCAGGGUUCUUGGUGAGGGUGUCUUCUGACGUCCACCGACAGCUCCCUCUCAACUGACCAGACCAGAAGUGCAGCUGGGCGAACAGGCCUGGGAGGGGCAGCUGCGCUUCUCUGGGGAACCAGCAAAGCAUGGGGUGGAGGUGAGCAGUGGCAAAUGCUGAAGGGACCAGCUCUCUCUGCAGAACUCAGGGUUGUAGCGCUCGCCGAUUUCGCCGGUGUAAAUACUCCCCCUGUGGCCAAGUCCAAGUUUCCAAGACCUGGGGUUGGGCAGAGACGCGCAGGAGCCACCGCUGUCUGGAUCUCCAUGAGGCACACGCAGUAGACACAGCCCGGAGAGCAGGACGGAGAGAGCACACGCUUGAGAGAACAUAAGCAGGGGGAGCGGCACUGGGAGAUGGAGAAGCAGACUCCCCGCUGAGCAAGGAGCCCAAUGGGGAUUCGCGACCCCAGGACCCCAGGAUCAUGACCUGAGCUGAAGGCAGACGCUUAACCCACUGAGCCACCCAGGCGCCCCGGUGUCAUGUCUUAUUCAUCGUUUACUCCCUAGUCCUAUUCCUGACCUUGAGUGUCCGUAAAGUCCAGAGGAUAGAUGAGCACUUCGGGGCCAUUUCAUCAUUAUUGCUCUCUAGCAUCGAUAACCGAGGUGCCCACAUUUCAGAAGUUUUCUCCAGACAUUCGAGUUUUUGUGGCUCACCCACCACGUGCCGGCAGGCUGCCGGGCUGGGGCACUGGAGGCACACCCGGGGCCAGAACAGCGCCCCCACCCUGCUGUCCGAGGGACCUGCUUGCUCUCUCUGCGGGAGGGCAGAUGGGAGAGCAGAAGCCCCAAGGAGCUGCUGGGGUGGUGGCGGGUGGGGGGGUGCUGUCAGGGGGUGAAGGGGAGGGUCCUCCCGGGAGCCAGGCUGGGGGCCCCCCGAUAUCAGGGCUGAGUGUGCACGUGUGUGUGUGUGCUGAGCAGGCAGGAGCUCCCAGGAGACCUGAGCCUCUUCUGGCUGCAAGUGGAGCUCCUGGGCGGCCCCCCACACCCCCGUCCCCCAACUCUCAGUGUCACCAGCCUAUUCGAGCGUGGCCCUCAAGCAUCCGUGUGCCCACAGAUGCCCUCGGGGCUCAUUCAAAGGCAGGUCCGGCUUCGGGAGGUCCAGGAUGGGUGGGGCCUCCUAGGGUGCUUUUCUGACAAGUUGCCAGGGCACGCCGCCGGCCCUGGUCCAAAUGCCCGGACCUCCAGAUCAGACCCUUCUGAUCCAGCUGAUCAGCGUGGAUCAGCUCCCCACGCUGUGGCCACAUCUGCCAGGGUUUUGAGCCCGUAUUAUGCCCCAUUUGUGAAUCACGGAGACUAUUCUCUAUGGAUCGUUUUCCUGGGUGGCUCAGUGGGUUAAAGCCUCUGCCUUCGGCUCGGGUCAUGGUCCCGGGGGUCCUGGGACCAAGCCCUGCGUCGGGCUCUCUGCUCAGUGGGGAGCCUGCUUCCUCCUCCCUCUCUCUCUCUGCCUGUCUUUCCACCUAUUGGUGAUCUCUGCCUGUCAAUAGAUAAAUAAAAAUUAAAAAAAAAAAAGAAAUUCACUGUUUCACAUAAAUGCAUUUUCUUUCUUUCUUUUUUUUUUUUUUUAAGAUUUUAUUUAUUUGACAGAGAGAGAGAAAUCACAAGUAGGCAGAGAAGCAAGCAGAGAGAGAGAGGGGAGGAAGCAGGCUCCCUGCAGAGCAGAGAGCUCGAUGCGGGGCUCGAUCCCAGGACCCUGGGAUCAUGACCUGAGCUGAAGGCAGAGGCUUUAACUCACUGAGCCACCCAGGCGCCCCCGUAAAUGCAUUUUCAAAGGAAGCUUUCGAUCAUUACCAUAUCGGCAAAGAUACUGUUUGUCUAAUGCUGAUAAAGAUAAGCUGGUAAAGAUUCCAGAAUGUCUGUCCACUGUGAGCCACCUUACGUCCUCUCCGGUGCUGCGUGUGCAGUGAGGUCACCCCAUCCCUUGCCCACAGGCGGCGCCCAUGGAGCCCCAGAAUUCCACGGCGUGCCCGGCGCUUGGUAGGCAGUAGUGGGAGCCCGAGUAGUGGACCCGAGUGGAGCAGAUCCACCAGCACAUUUCUAGAUACAGGGUUUCCGUGGAGAACUUGGGACAAAAGCAUUAAGGUCCCCAAAUGUACUGGGGCCACACUGCCAAGCCCAGGCCUCUGUUUUCAGGGAGGGGAGCUGAAGCUGGACUGUCCAAUGGAGCAGCCACUGGCCACAUUGCCAUUGUUUAACCUUAUUUUAUUUUUGUAAGAUCUUACUUAUUUGUCAAAGAGAGAGAGAGAGAGAGAGAGAACGCACUGGCAGGGGGAGGGAGAAGCAGGCUCCCUGCCGAGCAAGGAGCCUGAUGCAGGACUUGAUCCCAGGACCCUCGGGUCAUGACCUGAGCUGGAAGGCAGAUGCUUAACCGACUGAGCCACCCUGGUGUCCCCUACUUAACGUUAAAUGAGCUAACGGGAAAUAAAUACUAGGCAUGCUCCAAGAGUCGGGUAGUGCGUGUGGCUGGGGGCUGCCAUGCUGGGCAGCCGGACAAGGAGAGUCCCCAUCACUUCAGGACGCCCCACCGGACACUCCUGACGGGGGUCUGGGGGACUGAAGGGGGGUUUCUCUGCUAAUUGCUGCCACAGAGAGCUUCCCGCCUGCCGGGCCCGGACUGUGAGCAAGGAAGUGGGACGCAGCCAUGUCUGAAUGCUGUCCUGUCUCCAGAAAAGAUGGGACUUUCUUUUGCUGAAUGCAACCCCUCAUCUUCCCGUUGGGAGGCUGGGUGUGCCCUCGGUGGCUCUGUCUCGUGAAGCCACUCCAUCUGCAAGAGAGGAAACCCCAACCCCCACCCUUCCCACUGCCUUUCUGUUUCUAGGGACCACGGUCUCUGGCCUGGACUUGACGGCCACCCAAUUCCAUGUAUCGCCCUGCUAACUCCUAGUCCUUUUACUGUCUCUCAGCCUUGAGCCACCCAGACACGAGCCUCUCGGGGUUCACCAGACUGCUGGUGAGUGCUUCUGGAAAGAUCUCACAGAGCUGUGAUUGGGUCUGCAGCAGCCACGGGCCGUGAAUCCUCAGCAGGGCCUUGAUGCUGCUGUUGCUCCGGGAUCUUUGUCCUGUCUCAUGGCCCUGGGCCGGGGUCCCGGACCUUCUCUGGGCGCCUAUCAAGCCUCUCUUUCCAUCCCCCUCGGCCCACUGAUGACUUAACCCAGGUCCUGAGCAGCCCUUGUCCGGCUGACGGCUCUCCCUCCAGCGCGGGACCCUUCCUGCCCCUCUCCCUCCUAGGCUGCCUCCCUGAGCGUGGGCUCCCACUGCCUCCUUCUGCCUCUGGGGCUGGUAUUUGUCCCACCGGCCGCUCUGCUCCUCUCCCUGACACGGCAAAUAGCUUUUCUGUGUGUGUGUGUGUGUGUGUGUGUGUGUGUGUGUGUGUGUGUGCCCCACAUUCUCUGUCCCGCAUCCACCAUUCACUCCUUUAUCUCUGAUCAGGGGGUGACCUAGGUAAGAAUGAGGCUCCCCCGGGACCUUGAAUCCCCAGGCCGACACCGAGUAUACAGCGACUUCGAAGACGAGACACCUGGAUGGAAAGACAUCGACCUUGUCAGGGAGUGUGGGAGUUUGGCAAAAGAUGGUAAUGAGUAGAAAAAGAGAUACUUAUGGGCCCUAUUCCUGUUUUCCCUGUUCAUGGUGAAAUAGAACAGCCAGGCAGACAAAUGCACAUCAGAUCUACCGCCCACAAAUGAUCAUCUCGCCCAGGUCCAGAACGGGAUUGCCAGCCCCGAGGGGCACUUCCGCCAUCCUGUGCGUCAGAGCCCCCACUCUCCGUGCAGAGGGAACCCUCUGCUGACCGCGCCUUUCUUGCUUUUCCCUAUGAUUUACUCCCCUCCUUCCUAAGGCGUGAAUCCCUGAUCACUACAUUUUCAUCUUAUCUGUUUGAACUCUAUAGUAUGGAAAAUACAGCGACUAUCCUUCGGGGUUUGGUUUCAUUUGUAUCACCUGAUUAUUGCUUUUUAAGUUUCCUCCAAUUGGUACGUGUAGCUGUAGUUGAUGUUUUUCUUUUCUUUUCUUUUCUUUUUUUUUGAUGCUCUGUUGUAUUUUCUCUAUGAUUAUAACCACGGAUCGGUUACCCACUUUACUCUCGGGGGACAUUUGGAUCAUCUUUGGGCUUGGAUGCCGUGAAGAAAGCUGCCAGAGCCUUCGGGUGCAUGUGUCCGGGUGCAUGUGCGCACGCGUUUCUAUGGGCGCGUGUGCUGAAGCGGAUGCAUGUGUGCGUAUUUUCAGCUUUGGUAGACGAUCCCUAACCGUGGUUGCAUCCGGGUCAUGGCGUCACUACUCUACACCAGCCUGCAGUUCUAGUGGCUUUAUAUUCUUGCACGGUCUGAUGAAAGCAAACAAAAGAGGAGGAAGCAUGCGUAAGAAUUCAGAACAGAGAGGAAGCAAAAAGUAAGAUGGGAAAGGCAUCCCAGUGUGGCAGGAGUUAUGGUAAAUAUCCAUGACUUAAAUGGACUAGGACAAAGACUGGGAUAAAAAUUUCAUUUAGAAGAAACAUACUAAACGCAAGCUCACAGAAAAACUUAGGGUGAAUCGAUGAAAAGGAAAUGCCAGGAAAAUAGUAUCCCCAAGAAAGCCACGGAGAGGUGUAUUACUUCAGACGAACAGACUUGAAACCCAAAAAGUGUUAUUAGUGACAGAAUGGACGUCUGUCACCAGAAAGAUGGGACAUUUUCAAAGUGGAAUACAAUGAAUAAAACAGCUUUAAGAAACUGGAAGCAAAAAUUGGUAGGAUCGCUAGGAGAGCCAGAGCUGGCUGCCAUCACGAGAGAGACUUCUACGCGCCCGUAUGUCUGUGGCUGGCAGAGCAGGAAACAGAAAGAGCCUAGACUGGAAAAUGAUACAUUUUAUAUGUAUAUGUAUGUGUAUGUAUAAGUGAUACAUUAUAAUAAGAACUGAGUGGAAUUUCUAGAAAUGAAAAAACGCAGUAAAGGAAAUCAGAAACUCAGUGGAUGGGUUUAAAAGUGGUGGCUCAGUGAGUCAAAGCCUCUGCCUUUGGCUCAGGUCAUGAUCCCAGGGUUCUGGGAUCGAGUCCCUCGUCUGGCUAUCUGCUCAGCAGGGAUCCUGCUUUCGCCUCUCUGCCUGCCUCUCUGCCUACUUGUGAUCUCUGUCUGUCCAAUAAAUAAAUAAAAUCUUUUUUUAAAAAGUGGAUUAGAUAAGUCAUCGAACUCAAGGAACUGUCAGAAGGAAUUUUCUGGAACACUGCACAGAGAGACAAAGAUUAAGGUAUGUAGAACAGUAAAGUGGCCUAUGUUUCUUUAGAAUCCUAGAAGGAGAAGAGAGAAAAAUGGAGACAGAGCAAUAAAGUGCUAAGAGUUCAGCAUUUCCCACUACAGGUUCCCGCAGCCCAGUGACUCCCAGGUAGGAUUUUUUAAAAAGAACAGAUAUCAGGAUACAUUAGAGGAUGUGCCAGAAUGGCACGGUGAACCCAUAAUGUGUGACCAAGAUCUCACCACCGAGGAGCAUUUACUUCAUGGAAUUUUGAAAAAAUUAAAAGGUAGAACUUAAAUAAGGCAUGUAACUUGGAAGCCUGAUAGGAGUUAAAACGUUCUAAGGACGUAACUUUCUUGGCUUCAUCAAAAUAUGCAAAGUGAACAUUUCAGGGGGUUGUCCCCAGGGCCCUUUAUGGCUAUCCAGGAGUGAAUCAGGGCUUGUACCUUGCAUUUGGCUGUUGCAAAUGGAGCUGCUUUUAUUUUUUAACUAAAUUUUUUUAUUUUUAAAGAUUUUAUUUAUAUGUUUGUUAGACAAAGAGAGAGAGAGAGAGAGCACAAGCAGGGGGAGCAGAGGGGGAAGCAGGCUCCCUGCUGAGCAGAGAGCCCGAUGUAGGACUCGAUCCCAGGACCCUGAGAUCAUGACGUGAGCCAAAGGCAGAUGCUUAACCAACUGAGUCACCCAGGUGUCCCCAGAGCUGCUUUUUGGAUGGUUUUCCCACCUUUUUAUUUUUAUGGCAUGAACUUUCUGGAGAGACUGGGUGAAUUGCAGGCCGUUGUAGAAUGGCCUUCAUUCCGGAUUUGUCAGAUAGUUUCACCAGGGCUUAUUUAACACCGUUUUUUUUUUCAUAACUUGCAGAAAAUGUGUCACUUUGGUCUUCCCACAGCACCUGUGACAGGUAGCGCUGCACAUGCACUUUAGACACUAGACUAUAUCCUGAUGGAUGGGCUUUGGGGGAGAAGAGUGAGCAUAUAAGCUUUCUGAGUUGGCAUCUGAUGUUUGCAGUGUGGGAGAGACUGCUGGCCUUCCUCCCAGAACCCUGCAGAGCCCUUCGGACUGUGCGGCCCACCCCAGCGCGGCGGUGGCGAGCCCCGGGAUGGUGGAGAGUGGCCAGCCGGGACCCAAGGCGGGGCGGCCACACAGAGCGGGGCCGGGUCGAGGCGGGGUGGGGAGCGGGUGGCUGCAGGCUGCGACUGUUUCUGGUCCUCCCGCCGCUGAGGGACGUGACAAAGUCACGGACACAGGCGAAAAGAAAAUGAAGUCUAAGUCUUGCCAGCACAGGAGGCCUAAGUGGAAAAUGACUUCGGGAAACGCUAGAGCGAAUGUUUGAAUUUGUAGACUCUAUUAUAGAGUCUGUCCUGGCGCGAACUCUGGGGCCUCCAAAAGGGGCACCUGGGUAGCUCAGUGGGCUGGGCCUCUGCCUUCAGCUCAGGUCAUGAUCUCAGGGUCUUGGGAUGGAGCCCCCCACAUUGGGGGGUCCCUGCUCUGCGGGGAGCCUGCUUCCCCCUCUCUCUCUGCCUGCCUCUCUGCCUACUUAUGGUCUCUCUCUCUUUCUCUCUCUGUCAAAUGAAUAAAUAAAAUCUAAAAAAAAAAAAAAAGAGGAAACCACAAAGGCAACAUCGAGGGUGGGGGGGGGUCCUCCUGUCCAUGUGACCCCUUCCCAAGGACGACCUCCUUCAGCCGAGUCACCUGAAACGAUUUUCUCGAAGUUGCCGCAUAUGCUGCUGGGUUCGUGGGCAUGGCCACCGCCGAGGGGGCAUCCUUCAGAAAGGCCUGAGGGGAACAAACAGGCGUUUCACAGGCCCCAGCGAACAGACACAGCAGCAAUGGGUUUAUUGGGAAAACAGUGUGGCCGCCCCCCGGGGCCACUCAGCUGAUCCCCCUUGAGGACCCGCAGCUGCGUGCUCUGCAAACACGGGGCCCAGCGGGCCGCAGAGAACCCCUCCGUCCUUUCUGUUGGUGUUGGCCCGGUAUGCUUCUGCGCCCCACAUACUUGUGCAGGGAACAAACAAUCAGGACCAGCCAGGAGGCCUGAUCCACUGAGGGAGAACAGAUUGGGCUCUGUGAAAAUAUUUUCAAGGGUCAGAGUGUCCAUAGGGCCCUUGCUGUCCCCAUCAGGGACCCCCUGAGGACUCCCACUGUGCCCUGUGGCGCUGUUCUGAGCUUGUGCUCGCACAGCCUAACGGGAGGAGCCCUGUGAGCCUCGCUCUGCCAGGAAACACACGUGCUUCAUUCUGCAAGAGCUCCCCAGGUCACAUUGUUUGGGAUUUCUUUCUCCCCUGUCGAUCCUGGAAAUGGGGUCUGGGGCGGAGCGUGGGCACUGCCGGGGAGCCCGGGAGAAAUGCAGACUCCUGCGGGCUCCUCCCCAGGCCCCCUCAAGUCAAAUCCCAUGCUGUAGCCGGCCCCACCAGCGGGGUUUGUAGGCCUGUUCACGCCUGCAGGGCACACGGGGUUCGGGGUUUGUAGACCUGGCUGCAACAGCAGGAUCCUCCGUGCGGCUUUAACACACAUCUUUCCUUUCCUGCCCUUCUCGUGGCUCCUGGGGAACAGCCCACUUCUGCCCAUUCUCUCUCCUGCCUUUUCCACUUUCACGAAAAUGCCUUCAGAGUCAACAAAACCAUCUCGGGCUUGCGCAUGUUCUAGUGGGGAGGAAGACAGAACGUGCUGGGCUUCUCCUAUCUGAAGGGAAAUGGUCCCUUCACUUGAUAUCCCUUUCCACUCAGGCUUCUGCCCUAUUGCUUUUUGGUUUUGGUUUUGUAUUUGCUCUUUUCUAGCAAAACUCAUCAAGAGGCGUCUAUACGCCAAGUCUCUCUCCUCCUGUUACUUACAGUCACCUGCACUAGACCUAGCACUCCCAGCCCCCAGUCUAAGGAAACCGUCUGGUCAAGGUCACCAGUGACCCCACAUGGCUUAGUUUGAAGCCGCCUCAUCUACACUGCUGUCUCUCCAGCCCAGACGUCUAGACUGGGGUGUCUACCGUCUCUCGAGCGUCCUCCCUGGGAUGUCUGCGAGGCACAGACAGACUUCCUGACCUGCUCCUCAUCUCUGCCCACCCAAGUGUCACUGAGCAGUUAGUCGCUCAGGCCGACCUUCUAGAGUCAUUCUGGACUCCCGUCUCUCGGACCCUACUUCCAGUCCGCCCCGAUGUCCUCUUGGUUUCAUCCUCAACACAGAUCCGGGGUCAGACUCUCCUAGUGUCAGGCAGGCAUGGCAGCCGGCAACGUGGAAACGUCUCACGCCGAACGCUGGUGCGUGGCGCCAUCUGGCAGUGGCCCUCCUGCGUGCACCGGUCUCCACCGAAGUCCCCCAGCAGCGUGUUGGAACCCAGCCCCGGAACAACCGCAACUGUCCGGCAGCGGUGAGACCAUCAGGAAACCGUGGAGUAUGCAGGUGAGCCAACGGGAGGCAGGACGAGGAGGACGGACUGCAGCUGGACGUGAAUCGCAUGCACGGUGUGGAAGGAAGCCGCACACAGGCUAUGCGGUGUGAGUCCAUGGGUGUCAAGUUCAAGAGCAGCCACGAGGAGCCUCAGGGUCUGGAAGGCGGAGGAGUGAUUGCCCCUGGGCAUAGGUGGGGCUGCCGCCUGAGCAGCACUGAAGGCCUCCAGGGGCAGAUCGCUGGCGAGUCUUCAUCCGGGGGGCUACACAAAGUGCUUGCCCUGUAGGAGUGCUGUGAGUGUACACCCUAGGAUCUGUGUGCUUUGCUGCUAAGUUUUCCCUGGAUUCAAAACACCCAGACUCAAGCGCCGCUCUUCCCACCUGCACGGCUCCUCCCUGGAUCCAAGCCCGGGACUCCCUCGGGUGACUCCCGAGCUGCCCCUGCUCCCAGUGUUGUCCAAGGAGAUCUGAGCUCAACACAGCCAGAAAGUGGCUGGGUUUUAUCACUCUGAGGCUCACCUCUGCAACGGCUCCUUCUGAGUAGCAUCUAGAUUCUUCCCAGUCAGCCUCAUGGCCGGCAGGAUCCAGCCCCGGGGCUCCUUGCUGCCCUACCACAUGCCUGGCCCCUCUCGGCAGAGGCCUUUGUCUGCUGUUCCCUCAGCCCGGGAACAAGGACUGUGCUGACCCGCAACUGACCUUGCACUCAGCACCCCCGGCACUCCUGUUCCUCCUCAUUCUGUACGACUCUCGUGACGUUACUCCAGCAACUUCUUCCUCCAAAAAACUCUGCGUGGUUUGAAGGGUAGACCCCAGAAAUGUCCGCCCAGAACCUAUGGGUGUGACCUCAUUUGGAAAAGGGACUUUGCAGGUAUAAUGAAAGGUCUGGAGAUGAGAGCAUCCUGGUUAGGGAGGGCACAAACUCCAAUGGCAAGUGUCCACAGAAGAGAAGAGAAGGGGAGAAGACACCCAGAGGCCCAGGGAAUGCGAAGAUGGGGGUGCAGAGGCGGGGUGAUGAGUCCACCAGCAAAGGACUGCUGGCUGCCAUUGGAAGCAACGGAAGCUACAGGGAGUGGAUUUUCUCUCCGGGCUUCCAGAAGGAACCAGGGCUACCAACGCCUUCAGUUUGGAUGCCUGACCUCCGGCUGUGGGCAAGAAUUCAUCUCUGUUGUUCUAAGCCACCGAGGCUGAGGUAAUUUUCUCCAGCAACUCUAGGAAAAUCAUGCAUAUGCCAUAUCAUGGAUUUAUUAUUAUUAUUUUCUGUGUUCUCUCACUCUUGGCUCCCUGAGGGCACAAAUGACUAUUUUGUGCGUGAUGUGUUUCAAGCACCAGGGCUGGGCACCUAGUAUGCACUCAAGCCUGAAAAGGAACGGAUUUAUUGAUUUUAGUGUGCGAAGUCCCUGCUGAAGUAUUCUAAGACUCAGCCGAUUAAACAAAUGGUUGACACGUGGCGCCCUGGAGGGGCCAACAGGAAUGGACGCUGCCCGUGGCAAUGUGGAUGAAGGUCAAGAACAUUUUGCUGAGCGGAAGGAGCCAGACAUAAAAGAAAGCGGGCUGUGUGAAACGAGCUGAGCGUUCCCAAGAGAAAGCAGAUGAACAUGGCUCUGAGCCCAGGGCACGGGAGGGUCACUGAACACCAGCUAUUUUUGGGGGGGUGGUGAAUAUGGCCCAAUCUCUUAGUGAACACUCAAGCAUCGCGUCUGUCCGAACUCAUCAAACGGGACCCCUGAUAUGGGUGCAGGUGACUGUAUGUAAAUGAUAUCUCAAAAAAGGUGGUAUCAUCAGGUGGUUUGUCUAGAAUAAUGUCAUAAUUAUCUAGAGCAAAUCCCCACUGUGGACCCUGAAGCAGGUGUGAAGAUGUGAUUUUGGAGUCCAAGACUCUAUGUGGCAAGAAUGUAGAAGGAAGCAGAAAAUGUAACACCAAAGGGACAGAGAACAGGCAGUGCUGACUGUCGGGAGCCUGACAGAGGGCGCGCACCUGAGAGGCGGCGCUGUCGGCAGAGUCCCCGUCUCCGACCCCAGUGCUCCAGCUUCGCACCUGCCGCUCAGGCCUCCGGAACGCACCAGCAGCCUCCGCCGGGAGUGAGGAGCCCUUGACUGAGUUAAUAGGGCAGCUGUCCUGGAGGACACCGGGGGUUGCCUGUUACCCCCACCUGGCUCCCUCAGGCUUCUCCUUAUCUAUUUAUCUUAUCUUAUCUAUCUUUUUCAGGUGGGCUUGACUCUGACAACAGAUCAUGGAUGUUAGUUACCAAGCGGGACGGGCACUGGUUCAAGGAUUCAAAGGUCUAGUUCAUGUGAACCAGUGAUCAAUUUCAGAGGUCUUGUUGGUGGCUUUCAAAUAACAGCUGUUUUAUAAGGAAAGGAAAUUCCAGAGCAAAGUCUGAUGUGAAUAUUGAUGCAAGGAGUAUUGAUCCCAAGGAGUAUGUCAACUAACAGGAACCAGCAAGGUAUAAAAGGAUAGUGUAUCAUGACUGCUGCAGGGGGGGGGUCCCUUGGGAAGCAUAUGAUAUAGAGAUUGGUGUGCAGGACCCCAGAUGGGUGGGGUUGGGGGGUGGUCCGUGGGAAGGGGAAGAGCAGGGCUGGGCAGGCCCCAUGGAAAGGCUCUGAACACUGUGGGGUAUUGUGAAGGGGGCAAGAGGGCCUGACCCUUGUACCUCUACAUUGACCCUUGUCAGAUGCUGUCACCUGGAGGGGCAGGUAAACUUGGCCAAGGCAGUUCACUUUAGCUGGGCAGUCAGCAAAGGAUAGGCAUCUGACUGAGAAUAGUUGAAUAUCAGAAAAUUAAGUGUUGCACUUUGCAACCUUAACAGAAAAAGAUGAGAAAAAGAGUAUCAUCUCAACAUCUGGCAAAAUUCAAUACCCAUUUAUAACCUUUAUAAAUGAUCUCAGCUAACUGGGAAUAGACAAGAACAUCCUUAAUCUAAUACAGAAUAUUGUAAACGUUCUUCUUCUUCUUCUUCUUCUUUUUUUUUUUUUUUUUUUUUUUGGUUGCAGAGGAGCAGAGAGAGAGGGAGAGAAUCUUAGGCAGGCUCCACGCCCAGCACGGGGCCUGAUGUGGGGCUCGAUCUCCCAACACUGAGAGCAUGACCUGAGCCGAAAUCAAGAGGUGGACACGUAACUGACUGAGCCAUCAGGUGCCCCUUGCAAACAUUAUUCUUAUUUGUGAAGUAUUUAAAGGGUUCCCCUAGAGACUGGGAAUGAGGCAAAGCUGUCCUCUAUCACCUUCCAUUUAACACUGUACUAGAGGUCCUGGCCAGUGCAAUAAGGCAAGAGAAAUAAAGAAACGAUACAGUAUCCCACUUACCCAGAAUUAUUUACCUGCAAACUGCAACUAUGUAACCAUGCAGAUAACCUGGCUGGUGAACAUUGUCUUAUAAAGCACCUGAAAAGGUAUUGGAGCUGCCAAGAUGCCAAGUCUAUGCACAUCACCCAUAGAAGAGGAGUCCCUUAAGCCCUCACUCUGGGGAUAGGAAUAAUUCUAAUAAGCUUUUCCAAGCCCGUACCACUUAGAAGCAGAGACUAGGCAUGGGUCACAAUCAGAGUGUGAGCUACCAGCCUGAUGAAAGGACACCCGUGGACGUGGGGAAACCCUAAGAAAAGAUGCAGUCGUUCAAAAAACAUGGUGCUUGGGCCCCCCUGGGUGGCUCAGUUUCUUGAGUGUUCAGCUUUCUGUUUUGGCUCAGGUCGUGAGCUUGUGGGUCAUGGGAUCAAGCCCUGCGUGGGGCUCCACAUUCGCCAGGUAGUCAGCUUCAAGUUUCUCUCCCUCUGUCUCUCCCCCUGCUCACACACUAUCUUUCUCUCUCUCUCUAAUAUAUAUAUAUAUAUAUUUUUAAACAAACUACAGUGCUUGCAAACCACUUAUUACUGGGGCAAACAGCACUCCAUACCUUAGCAGCCCAUGGCUGCUAGACAGUCAUUGACACUUGUCAGGAAAAGAAAAUUAUAAUUGUGACUCACCACUUAAAAGGAUGGGAAUUAUGUUGCGUACAAAAGGUUUUUCUAGUGUCCGGGUUUUCAAACAAUUUUGGUCAUUGGUAUGGGGAAAUUUUCAUUAUCAGAAAACUAACUUAGAGGUAAUAUCUAAUUUUGAACAAUCUACCCAAGGUCUUCAUGGCUUAAGCAGCACUUGUGCAGGACGCAGGGGUGCGGUUUCACCGACACUGGUGCGGAGCUUCUGUCAUGGGCCCUCACACUUGAGUCACCGAGGGGCGCCGUGGGCUGAGGGCUCGCUCAGUCGAGGGAUACGCUUUUCCUCAGAGCCCUGGCUGUGGUCUGGCCACACGAGCACACGCUGGGCUUGAAAGGCUGAGCAGGGUUGUGAUUCCUCGUCUGAGUUCAGCCUUUGGGAAGGACUAACAGCAUGUACGGAACGUCCACCACGUGCAGCCUCUGUCUUCCCAGUUCAUGGUGGGACCCGGUGCUGGCAGUGCCCAACACAUCCUGCUUGUCAUUGCCAGGAGGUAGCCAGCGGAAGGUUCCGUGUCUCUUCUCAAACAUUGGAGCUUGCUCGACCCAGGCACGAGAAGGGCUGAGAGUUCAUGUCUCAUGAGCAACGCUCAACCUGAUAAAGGAGCUUGGUGGAGGGCGCCCCGGCCUCCUCGCUCCUGAGUGGGAUGGAGCUUGGUGGCCCACAGCGGUCGCCCGCACGUGAACACGCCCUUUCUCGGCUUCCUCCCUUUUCUGCUUUCUGCCCCCCUGCCCUCACUGUGCUUCCUGGGGUCCCCUCCCACCCCGUCUGCCUUUGGCUCAGGUCAUGAUCUCGUGGUCCUAGGGUUGAGUCCUGCAUUGGGCUCUUGGCUCAGCGGGGAGUCUGCUUCUUCCUUGCCCUCUGACCCUCCCCCCUCCACUCAUGCUCUCUCACUUUCUCUCAAAUAAAUAAAUAAAAUCUUUUGAAAAACAGUAUUGCCUAAAUACUACUAUUCUGUCUUGCCUAAAUACUACUAUUGUCUUUAUUUAUUUAUUUAUUUUUAAAGAUUUUAUUUAUUUAUUUGGCAGACAGAGAUCACAAGUAGUCAGAGAGGCAGGCAGAGAGAGAGGGGGAAGCAGGCUCCCUGCUGAGCAGAGAGCCCGAUGCGGGGCUUGAUCCCAGGACUCUGAGAUCAUGACCUGAGUGGAAGGCAGAGGCUUUAACCCACUGAGCCACCCAGGUGCCCCUUCUGUCUUUAUUUUUAAAAGACUUGCUUACAUGAGAGGAAUCAGGUCUUGAACUUCUGAUGGCAAAGCUUCAGUAUAUAAUAAGCAUUUACACAUAAGCCAUGGAAAUCGUUCACGCCCAAUGUGUGCAAUCCACUCUAUCCAAGAGCACCUAGCAUGUCAAAGUGUACGCAUCUCUACGGACUGUCCCAUUGAUCAGAAUGGAAGUGAUAGCAAAUGUUUUAUGAAACAGAAUUACAUUCCAUUCAAUAUAGAGCAAUAUCUCCCCAACAGUGUUAUAAGACGCAAGUGGGUGAUCACGAGACAGUUAACAGAGACUCAGAACGAACCACAUAAUGGGGAAAAAAAUGAAUGCUUAGAUGUUGAACAGAAAAUAUUAGUAACAAAAACCCUUUAUACUUAUUUUUGUUGAUAAAAGGUCUGAGUCAGAGCAUAGCAGGAGCCUUGAAUUUUUAAGUUCGACCAAAGUUGCAUCAUGACAACCAGGAAUGUACCGUCUAGACAGCUUAGCGCCCCGGAGGGUUAAUCACUCCUUCAGCCAAUGCUCUUAGAAGCCCAAAAUACAUAGACUGGAGAGGCUUGCUAGCUUAGUCAAGUGCGAUAAAUCUUAAAACUAGGUACGUGUGCAAAAAAUAAAUAUUUAAGACUUCGUUUUGUGCAAACAAAGACUUAUCUUUUCAUUCCAAAAGAAUACCCAGCCUGAUGCUGGGCAAAAGCUGAGCACAAGGUAUUUAGAUGCAACAGAAUCAUCGUGUUGAUUUAUAUCAAAGAAUGUCCUAUAUAUCUCCCCGUGGGGCACAGUUAGGUUUUAAGGUUUCAGAAUUACUUUGGAAUUUAUGAUUGAACAGGAACACACCGUACAGAAUAUUUCAAAGUUGCUACCAAAAAACAAGCUGAAAUUUUUCUUAGCAAUAUAGGUUUCUCAACACCUCUUCCGCCCCCGUGGGCAUCACAUUGAGAAGAUGCAGGGAGGUAAUGAUCAAAUGGUCUCUGAUGGCUCUUCUAGCAUGUUCUGUUUCUGAAUUAUAUAGAAUAUCCUGGUCCUUAAGGAAUGGGAUAGAUCUUUGGAGAGAGUAUCAACUUGGGGCUAAAGAACUAGGCGGGUAAAAACUCUAGAAGGAAGAGAGAUUCACAAGUGACCUGAACGGUGAGAGGCUGGUGGGGAGAGAUUAUGCACUAGAUGCUGGCCUGUUGGAUUUUUCCCUCCCUUCUCUGAUUCGUUCUUCUUUUUAAGACUGCCUUCUGUGUCCUUUUCAGGGGAGGUCGUUGGUCUUACCCUUUAUCAUUUGUUCCUUCGGUGUUUUAACACAAAGCCUCUAAGAAAAACAGCAAAUUCAAGGCUAGUAUUACAAGCUUGAAUAAAAAUAAUGAGCCUUAUUGUCUGAUCGGUGAACCCUUCUUGGUGAAUAAAAUCUUCAUUUGUGCAAGUGGGAUGACCUCUCAGCAGACUGCACUUCUUUCAGGCGUGACGCUCUGCUUCUGGAAACGCAAACAGUUACUUUCUAAACGUGACAGAAGUCAGUCCUUUCCUUCUGAUGCAUUACUGCUUUGUGCACCUUAUUUUAUUUACCUUUAUGGCAAAUCGCUGCACUACAUGACUGCGGAGAUUGAGGCCUCAUUUUUUUUUUUUUUAAAGAUUUUAUUUAUUUAUUUUACAGAGGGAGAUCACAAGUAGUCAGAGAGAGAGAGAGAGAGAGAGGAGGAAGCAGGCUCCCUGCUGAGCAGAGAGCCUGAUGUGGGACUCGAUCCCAGGACCCUGAGAUCAUGACCUGAGCCGAAGGCAGCGGCUUAACCCACUGAGCCACCCAGGCGCCCUGAGGCCUCAUUUUUAAUGAUUUAAUGAUUUUAAUGCUUUAUCCAAAAUCACUCCAGAAUAAAAGCAGAACCCAUGGAAACAGAAUAAGAAUCCCUUGAAAAUGCAGUUACUCUAGAUGCAUACAAAUAAAUGAACAACAAUCAGAAGUUGAAUCUUAGGUCUGCUAACUGGAACAUAAGUCAUAAUUUAAGAGAAUAUUCUAGACGACUGAGGUAUAAAGAUUAUAUUUAUUCUGAGUCUAGAGACUUUCUCAACUGUAGAAGUAUGGAUGCACCUGACUUCAGCGAUCCAGAUUCGUGACUAGGUGGGGUUGAAAAAAUGUCUGCAUGGGGGUGGGGGGACGCCUGGGUGGCCCAGUGCGUUAAAGCCUCUGCCUUUGGCUCAGGUCAUGAUCCAAGGGUCCUGAGAUCAAGCCCCACAUGGGGCUCUUUGCUCAGCAGGGAGCCUGCCUCCCCUCUCUCUUUGCCUGCCUCUCUGCCUGCUUGUGAUCUCUGUCAAAUAAAUAAAUAAAAUUUAAAAAAAAAAAAGUCUGCACAUCCUCUGAUAAUUACAGAGUUUAGCUAGAGAGACUGAAGUUAAUCAGAUCCU